CACGUAGGCGGGUCCUUAAGUCAGGGGUGAAAUCCUGGAGCUCAACUCCAGAACUGCCUUUGAUACUGAGGAUCUCGAGUUCGGGAGAGGUGAGUGGAACUGCGAGUGUAGAGGUGAAAUUCGUAGAUAUUCGCAAGAACACCAGUGGCGAAGGCGGCUCACUGGCCCGAUACUGACGCUGAGGUGCGAAAGCGUGGGGAGCAACA
RNAcentral lists this ribosomal RNA (206 nucleotides) under uncultured bacterium. Its description in RNAcentral is "partial 16S ribosomal RNA". It matches the Rfam family "Bacterial small subunit ribosomal RNA", at positions 568 to 773 of the family's 1533-position model. The record is from RNAcentral.